This 408-nucleotide unclassified non-coding RNA is filed under the name Hevea brasiliensis (rubber tree). The record is from RNAcentral. Lineage: Eukaryota; Viridiplantae; Streptophyta; Magnoliopsida; Malpighiales; Euphorbiaceae.
AAUCUUUUGACCAAAUUAGGAUCUGGGUUUUAUUUGUCUAUUUGUUUUUUUGUUGCGCUUGAUUCCUAUCUGUUCUUAUCUCAAUUUUCUUGGUGACCCAUCUCGAAAUUCUCCAUCAUUCAUUUGCUUAUAUAGUCUUUAGAGAGAGCGAGCAGGUUAGUUAUAUUUUCCAUAAUGGCUGCGGCUAAAAACAGCACAGGAAAAUCCAAGAAGGGUGUUGAUGAAACUCAGAGAUUGACGAGGCAAGAUUGGGAGCUUGACAGGGGCAAGAAGGAAGCUGACCUUAGCUUACCUGAAAGGCAGCAAUGGAAGCCAGUUUUUGGUGAAGCUUCCAUGGCAGAAAGACCUCCCAAGAAGAUCCGCAGCCCUGAACGCCAAGACCCAAUUCAAUUCUCUGCAUUUUCAGCA